CCACUAGGAUACUUCUUCACGAGUUUUAUUAAUUCUAAUAUGUCAUCGUCAGUCCAUAAUCCCCCAGAAAUAGCAGGUUUCUGAUAAACGUGAUUUAUUUGGUCUUUCUUAAACACCUCUUUAACGCCAUUACCGCUUCUUUCUUGCGGAGUGAAACCAGUUCUGCGUCUCCUCGUACGAGAUGUGAAUUCUGGUUCUGGUUGUUCGUUUUCUUGCAUUCUGAAACAGGUCGUACAAAUAAAUUCUAAGCAUACCUAAUGGAAAAAAAUGUUUGGUGGCAAAUAAUACGCUUCAUUUGAAUAUCACAGCUUCACUCACAAUGCUUCUUCUUCUUUUUGCUUUUUCCUACGUUUUCUUUCUUCCAGUAUAGUAUUCAUUACACGCACGAUAUCAGGUAUGGACAAUGUAAAAGCUAUUAUCCAUCUUGGAAAUUGAAACGGGAGAGUGUUCCAAAUAGUUGGUGUAGGAAUUUUCUCCAAAAUGUCUGCCAAAUCCGGCACAUCCAUCUUCCCUUUCUUAUUCUUUUUUUGCAUUUUCUGAAGUUUAGUGCCCAAAACUUGUUCCUGCAACAUAUAUGUAUAUCUUUUCUCGUAAUAUGCGGCCCAUGCAACUACAUAUUGUCCGAUGGUAAUCAGUAAAAAUAAAAUUAUUCCUAAUUCUACAAGUCCCAUUUUUCGCACAUGGCGGUAAUAAUACACGGCUGAUCGCCAGUUUGGCAAUCCAUUAACUAGAACACUGUCGUAUCGCUGACGUUUCGCAGGAUCUUUCAGAAUAUCAUAAACAGCGACUAACUGGAAAUGAGAGGAGGAUGGCGAAAAAAUACAAAAUUUAUUUCCCUUCAGACACCUAAAAUUCUAAUCAGGCAUCAUUUUUUAUAUAAAGUAUCUAAGUACAAAUCAAGUGUCAUAAAAUUAUAAUCAUUUAUAGCAAAUGUGAUGGGAAAGUUGUAAAAACUGUAAAUAAAGUUUACAUUGCCUCAAAAGGUGAAUUGAAUUUUUCUAACUUUAAGUGAUCACAAUUUUGAUAUUAAUGUAAGAAGUGCAAAAAUUCAAAUAGUAUUUUGUAGAAGAAAGUCAAUAUUUAUAUAGUAUGAAAAAACAUAUUGCUUAAAUUGCUAAUUAAUUGUAAUAAAAUACAACUAUUUAA
This 1146-nucleotide unclassified non-coding RNA is filed under the name Bombus terrestris (buff-tailed bumblebee). RNAcentral's name for it is "misc RNA ENSBTSG00005039183.1". The record is from RNAcentral. Lineage: Eukaryota; Metazoa; Arthropoda; Insecta; Hymenoptera; Apidae.